RNAcentral lists this long non-coding RNA (1531 nucleotides) under Homo sapiens (human). RNAcentral describes it as "non-protein coding lnc-FBXL17-4:2". The record is from RNAcentral. Lineage: Eukaryota; Metazoa; Chordata; Mammalia; Primates; Hominidae.
AGCCCAAGCUGCGGGCCCUGGGAGUGGAGACGCGGAGCUGCGGUCGCCGCUUUCUGGGCUCGCUCACCAGCCCGGGUGGAGUCCCGAGGUCUGCGCGUUUGUGCCGCUCUCCCCGCCUCGGUAACCUGCUCCUCCCUAGCGGGUGUCCUGGGCCGCCUGGAAGGGACUACUCGGCGGGUCGGCAGCCGGAAAGGAAUUCGGAGAGUGGGGGCGGAGGCGUGAUUAAAAUGUUAAGUGUGCCCGGAGGGCGCUGGGCGAUCCCUGGAGCUGAAAUCUCCGGGAAGGGAAGCUGCUUUAGGGCCGCGAGGCCCCCACCCCUAAAAUAGGCACUUUUCAGCCUCAGAAUUGGUCACUUUUUCCUGUACGUUCCCACGUUUUACUUGUAUCUGUUAUUAACGUGGAUUGCUUUAGAAUGGUUUUCAGCAACUCCAGUUUACUCUGAGUCCCUUAAGGACGGGAACUGUCUUUCAAUCCUGUACUCCCAGUGCCUGAGCCUGCCUAAAAAUGUUAGAAACUCAAUGCUGGAAUUGUAAUGGAUGUUUAAAAGCAUACAGCAGGUCCUGGGAGUGGCCCCCUAUAAUAAAUUCUUACCUCUUCGGGAGUCUAGAAUGCGUGGAGAACCCAAACGGGUCUGCUCUUCAGUGAUGGCCGUUUCUGAAGCGUCCUUCACCAAAAGAAUUUGGUGAAAAAUGAGUAAUGUGAACUACAAGAUUAUUACUAGGUGAUCAGUAACAGUAGGAUAGGUAUGCGUCAUUAUUCGAGGGUGUGACCCUCCCAUGUUCCUGUAGUAGACUUUUUAAGGCGGUGUUAUCUUUUGCAUUGGUUGAACCACAUAGCGUCAAUCCGGUAUUUCCCCUCCCUCUCAAAAACUGAGUUACAUAGGAGCCAAAGAAGAGUGGUGAAUAUUUUCUCUAAGCAGGGUUAUUUAUUUAACCGUAGAGAACAGCCCUACACAUAAAAAAACAUAAAUCUUAAGUUGGACUUUUUUUAAGUCUACUGUUUUAAAGCUAAAUAAACAAAAACCAACAUAAAAAUUUUAAAUAAGAGGCUUAAUUCUCCCUAUUGAAAAUGGAGGAUGAGAUUUCCCGUCCCUUUCUCUCCGAGCAUUUGUCUUAGAAAACUUAAGUACUUUCUUAAUUGUUAAGUACUUUCUCAACUCUUUGAAAUGUGUAUAAAUCCACUUGAGGACUAGAUAGGUCUUGUCAACUGUAUGCUCAGUCAGGAAUGUCUCUGGACCUUUUUUUUUUUUUUUUUUUUGAAAUGCUGCACAUAUCAACGGAGUAGCAUCCUUCCCUAUCUCCCAGUUUCUGUGAGAGAGUAGGAGCGUAACUUCGGUGAGCAACUUGCUCCGUGUUGCAAAACUACCUUCCGUCAUAAAGACAGGAGAAGUUUGUUUUUCCUCUGGAUAAAACCAAUUAACUAACACAGAUGGUCACCCCAAUUAUUAAGUAAAGUUAAUGUCACAAAUGUCAGGUCCUCUUACUUGAGGACUAGUUAUUGUUCAACUUGAAAACGUGUAUGUAAUGGGUCG